CAAUAGCGUAUAUUAAAGUUGUUGCAGUUAAAAAGCUCGUAGUUGGAUUUCUGGUGGGAGCGAUCGGUCUGGCGCUUAGCGCGAGUACUUGCAUCGUCUCCGGCCAUCCUUGGGGAAAGUCUGUCUGGCAUUAAGUUGUCGGGCAGAGGAUCCUCAUCGUUUACUGUGAAAAAAUUAGAGUGUUCAAAGCAGGCUUAUGCCGUUGAAUAUAUUAGCAUGGAAUAAUAAGAUAGGACUUUGGUACUAUUUUGUUGGUUUGCGCACCAAAGUAAUGAUUAAUAGGGACAGUUGGGGGUAUUCGUAUUCCGUUGUCAGAGGUGAAAUUCUUGGAUUUACGGAAGACGUACUACUGCGAAAGCAUUUACCAAGGAUGUUUUCAUUAA
This 383-nucleotide ribosomal RNA is filed under the name uncultured eukaryote. Its description in RNAcentral is "partial 18S ribosomal RNA". It matches the Rfam family "Eukaryotic small subunit ribosomal RNA", at positions 592 to 976 of the family's 1831-position model. The record is from RNAcentral.